This 460-nucleotide ribosomal RNA is filed under the name uncultured bacterium. Its description in RNAcentral is "partial 16S ribosomal RNA". It matches the Rfam family "Bacterial small subunit ribosomal RNA", at positions 338 to 795 of the family's 1533-position model. The record is from RNAcentral.
CCUACGGGAGGCAGCAGUGAGGAAUAUUGGUCAAUGGACGAGAGUCUGAACCAGCCAAGUAGCGUGAAGGAUGACUGCCCUAUGGGUUGUAAACUUCUUUUAUAUGGGAAUAAAAUGUUCCACGUGUGGGAUUUUGUAUGUACCAUAUGAGUAAGGAUCGGCUAACUCCGUGCCAGCAGCCGCGGUAAUACGGAGGAUCCGAGCGUUAUCCGGAGUUAGUGGGUUUAAAGGGAUCGUAGGUGGAUUGUUAAGUCAGUUGUGAAAGUUUGCGGCUCAACCGUAAAAUUGCAGUUGAAACUGGCAGUCUUGAGUACAGUAGAGGUGGGCGGAAUUCGUGGUGUAGCGGUGAAAUGCUUAGAUAUCACGAAGAACUCCGAUUGCGAAGGCAGCUCACUGGACUGCAACUGACACUGAGGCUCGAAAGUGUGGGUAUCAAACAGGAUUAGAUACCCUUGUAGUC